CCUACGGGAGGCAGCAGUGGGGAAUAUUGCACAAUGGGGGAAACCCUGAUGCAGCAACGCCGCGUGAGGGAAGAAGGAAUGCGGGAUGGAAAGCUCUAUCAGCAGGGAAGAAGAUGACGGUACCUGAGUAAGAAGCCACGGCUAACUACGUGCCAGCAGCCGCGGUAAGACGUAGGGGGCAAGAGUUAUCCGGAUUUACUGGGUGUAAAGGGAGCGUAGACGGUGAGACAAGUCUGAAGUGAAAGCCCGGGGCUCAACCCCGGGACUGCUUUGGAAACUGCCUGACUGGAGUGCUGGAGAGGCAAGCGGACUUCCUGGUGUAGCGGUCAACUGCGUAGAUAUUAG
This 345-nucleotide ribosomal RNA is filed under the name uncultured bacterium. RNAcentral's name for it is "partial 16S ribosomal RNA". It matches the Rfam family "Bacterial small subunit ribosomal RNA", at positions 338 to 700 of the family's 1533-position model. The record is from RNAcentral.